RNAcentral lists this ribosomal RNA (457 nucleotides) under uncultured bacterium. RNAcentral describes it as "bacterial SSU rRNA". It matches the Rfam family "Bacterial small subunit ribosomal RNA", at positions 346 to 793 of the family's 1533-position model. The record is from RNAcentral.
AGGCAGCAGUGGGGAAUAUUGCACAAUGAGGGAAACCCUGAUGCAGCCAUGCCGUCGUGUGUGAAGUAAGGCCUUCGGGUUGUUAAAGCACUUUCAGUAGGGAGGAAGGUAGUGUAGUUAACACCUGCACUAUUUGACGUUACCUACAGAAGAAGCACCGGCUAACUCCGUGCCAGCAGCCGCGGUAAUACGGAGGGUGCGAGCGUUAAUCGGAAUUACUGGGCGUAAAGCGCAUGCAGGCGGCCUGUUAAGUCAGAUGUGAAAGCCCGGGGCUUAACCUCGGAAUUGCAUUUGAAACUGGCAGGCUAGAGUCUUGUAGAGGGGGUAGAAUUUCAGGUGUAGCGGUGAAAUGCGUAGAGAUCUGAAGGAAUACCAGUGGCGAAGGCGGCCCCCUGGACAAAGACUGACGCUCAGAUGCGAAAGCGUGGGGAGCAAACAGGAUUAGAUACCCUGGUAG